RNAcentral lists this ribosomal RNA (1687 nucleotides) under metagenome. RNAcentral's name for it is "bacterial LSU rRNA". It matches the Rfam family "Bacterial large subunit ribosomal RNA", at positions 770 to 2477 of the family's 2925-position model. The record is from RNAcentral.
AGGACCGAACCAGACGUCUGUUGAAAAAGGCGGGGAUGAGCUGUGGAUAGCGGAGAAAUUCCAAUCGAACCCGGAGAUAGCUGGUUCUCCUCGAAAUAGCUUUAGGGCUAGCCUCGUAUUAGAUUACUGGAGGUAGAGCACUGAAUGGGCUAGGGGGCCACAAAGCUUACCGAACCCUAUCAAACUUCGAAUGCCAGGGAAUUGAUGUACGGGAGUCAGUCCGCGAGAGAUAAGUUCCGCGGGCAAAAGGGGAACACCCCAGAUCGUCCGCUAAGGUCCCGAAGUGCACGUUAAGUGGAGAAGGAUGUGGAAUUGCACAGACAACCAGGAUGUUGGCUUAGAAGCAGCCAUACAUUUAAAGAGUGCGUAAUAGCUCACUGGUCGAGUGGUUGUGCGCCGAAAAUGUCCGGGGCUCAAACGUGCCACCGAAGCGGCGGAUUUCAGUGAAAACUGGAGUGGUAGAGGAGCAACGUAUGCGGGUUGAAGCCGUACCGAGAGGAGCGGUGGACUGUAUACGAGAGAUAAUGCAGGUAUGAGUAGCGAGAGCAACGCGAGAAACGUUGCCGUCGAAAGCCCAAGGUUUCCUGGGGAAGGUUCAUCCGCCCAGGGUAAGUCGGGGCCUAAGCCGAGGACAGAAGUCGUAGGCGAUGGAUAGCAGGUGGAUAUUCCUGCACCGCCGAGGAAUGAGGCAGUGACACAGAAGGAUAGCUCGAGCCGGGUGAUGGUCAACCCGGUCCAAGCGGUAAGCUUGGGAUGUAGUGAAGUACGCAUCCCUUUCAGGUGAGCCGUGAUGGGGACCGAAAUAAAGUAGGGAAGCGAGUGAGUUCACGCUGGCGAGAAAAGCUGCUAGUAUAUCCGAAGGCGCCCGUACCGGAAACCGACGCAGGUGGGCGAGGAGAGAAUCCUGAGACGAACGGGAGAACCCUUGUUAAGGAACUCGGCAAAAUGACCCCGUAACUUCGGGAGAAGGGGUGCCUCGAAAGAGGCCGCAGAGCAUAGGCCCAAGCGACUGUUUAGCAAAAACACAGGUAUCUGCGAAAGCGAGAGCUGACGUAUAGGUGCUGACACCUGCCCGGUGCUGGAAGGUUAAGGGAAAAUGUCAGGGCAACCGAAGCAUAGAACCGAAGCCCCAGUAAACGGCGGCCGUAACUAUAACGGUCCUAAGGUAGCGAAAUUCCUUGUCGGGUAAGUUCCGACCCGCACGAAUGGUGUAACGAUUUGGGCACUGUCUCAACAGGGGGCCCGGUGAAAUUGAAGUAUGGGUGAAGAUGCCCAUUACCCGCGACUGGACGGAAAGACCCCGUAGAGCUUUACUGUAACCUGAUAUUGGAUUUCGGUAACGGAUGCACAGAAUAGGUGGGAGACUGGGAAAUACGUGUUUCGGCAUGUGUGGAGUCGCCGUUGGGAUACCACUCUUCUGUUAUUGGAAUUCUAACAUGACGCCGUAAGCCGGUGAAUGGACAGUGUCAGGCGGACAGUUUGACUGGGGCGGUCGCCUCCGAAAGAGUAACGGAGGCGCCCAAAGGUACCCUCAGAAUGGAUGGAAACCAUUCGAAGAGUGCAAAGGCAGAAGGGUGCCUGACUGCGAGAGUGACAACUCGAGCAGAGACGAAAGUCGGGCUUAGUGAUCCGGCGGUAUUGAGUGGAAAAGCCGUCGCUUAACGGAUAAAAGCUACCUCGGGGAUAA